GAAACCGCAGAACUGCGCGGUUGGCUUUGGGCCUUCUAAGCCGAUGGUCACAGGUUCGAAUCCUGUCGGGAUCGCCA
This 77-nucleotide transfer RNA is filed under the name Mesorhizobium loti. RNAcentral describes it as "tRNA-Arg". The record is from RNAcentral. Lineage: Bacteria; Pseudomonadati; Pseudomonadota; Alphaproteobacteria; Hyphomicrobiales; Phyllobacteriaceae. RNAcentral also lists the same sequence under 4 other names.